UCGAGGUUGAAGUUCAAGGUUAUCUUACGAAGAGGCUACUACGUCAAAGCUUGUCUACUGAGAAAGACGAAUCGAUAUAUACCGGGUGCUCCGUGGAUGGAGUAAGACAGUAACCCCUGACUGGGAUUGUACAGUUAAGGUUGAAAGUUAAUCGAUAAUCCACGCUUCACCCGUUAUCCAUUUCUCACGUGUUGGAUAUAAAAGCUAUUCUUCGAGUGGCCUCGAAUCACCACGCAGACACGACGUAGACUGAAUUUAGCAAACCAUUUAGCGAAGCCGCCAAACACUUCUAACUCUGUCCCUUACUGCAACUUCUAAUAUUUCGAAUGUUAAAUAAAAUUAUACUUUUAUAUCGUUUCGUGAUAAAUGAUUUCAGUUAUCGCUUGAUUUUCGUGAAAAAAAAAAUGGAAAAAAUAAAAAAUAUUUCGAGUAUCGGGAAAAAUUAAAUCGAGAGAAAAGAAAAAUGAUGAGAAAAAUACGAUACAUCGGACUUGUAUAUCGUGGAGUCUACAUUCGUAAACGAAAGGUGCACAUAAACUUGUUUACAAGAGGCGACAGGAACAGGAACUUAAUGCGUGCACUGUAUUUGAACAAAAAGUUGUCCGCUGCAAUGGUGUGUGCAGUCGCACUAAACACACGGAUCCAGCCAAGACCUUAAUACUGCGUAGAAGAUUCAAGGGAGGGAGAAGGGUAGGCUUAAACUGCGCACUUUCACAGUUAGGGGACGAUGAUUCACGAAUACACCAGCCAAUGCACCCAUGAAUAAAUAUGCAAACAUAAUAAGUUUGUUGAAAUUUCGUUUCACAACCUGUCUCCUAUCUUUGACGACGUAAAGCACGUUUCGCAUAAAAAAAAAAAGAAAAAAGAAAAUUUAUUAUGCACCGAGCAAAUUUAUCCACGUUUCUGAAUACAGCGAUAGCGUUUCAACGGAAUGGAAUAGAAAUAGAAUACAAGAUAAUUUAAAUGUAUCGCUAGAUAUCGAAAAUAUCGUGAAUUUUUUUUUUAAUAACACGCUUGAAAGGAUGAAAAAAUUCGCUGAAUUUCGAACUCGAAUUGUAGGUAAAGAUCGUUUGUUUGGCACGUGCGUUCCGACGGACAUAACAGUCGUAACGUAUCACUACAAAAGUCACGUUUAAUUACGACAUACUGUGACAAUAUACUUUGCGCGAUCGAUAAUGUGGCAUCUUUUUUAGCGACAUUUUUAGCGUUGGACGUCCGAUCUUUGGCACCGAAAAGAAAAUGCAAAACAUCCAAAUGUAAACGUCAUGUGUACAAUAGAGCUUCGUUUCGGAUUGAAAUUAUUCCAUGAAAAACUGAACGAUGAAAAAUACCUUGGAAAAAAAUUGGGAAAAUAUUAUCCGUUUAAAUUAAUAUCCAUCGAUAGAUAUAGCGUGGAACAACUGUGGACACACAACCAUCAACAAAUCAAACAGAAAAAAAAAUUUAUUCUCACGACCGUUGUUGUGUAUAUCCGAGGUUACUUUUUAUCAACAUAUUUUAAAAUGACAACUAUCUGCGGAGAAGAAUCACAAACA
This is a long non-coding RNA of Apis mellifera (honey bee), 1535 nucleotides long. RefSeq lists it as uncharacterized. Lineage: Eukaryota; Metazoa; Arthropoda; Insecta; Hymenoptera; Apidae. The record is from RefSeq and is a predicted model, not a curated record. The transcript has 2 exons.